GACGAACGUUGGCGGCGUGCUUAACACAUGCAAGUCGAACGGAAAGGCCCUGCUUUUGUGGGGUGCUCGAGUGGCGAACGGGUGAGUAACACGUGAGUAACCUGCCCUUGACUUUGGGAUAACUUCAGGAAACUGGGGCUAAUACCGGAUAGGAGCUCCUGCUGCAUGGUGGGGGUUGGAAAGUUUCGGCGGUUGGGGAUGGACUCGCGGCUUAUCAGCUUGUUGGUGGGGUAGUGGCUUACCAAGGCUUUGACGGGUAGCCGGCCUGAGAGGGUGACCGGCCACAUUGGGACUGAGAUACGGCCCAGACUCCUACGGGAGGCAGCAGUGGGGAAUAUUGCACAAUGGGCGGAAGCCUGAUGCAGCAACGCCGCGUGCGGGAUGACGGCCUUCGGGUUGUAAACCGCUUUCGCCUGUGACGAAGCGUGAGUGACGGUAAUGGGUAAAGAAGCACCGGCUAACUACGUGCCAGCAGCCGCGGUGAUACGUAGGGUGCGAGCGUUGUCCGGAUUUAUUGGGCAUAAAGGGCUCGUAGGUGGUUGAUCGCGUCGGAAGUGUAAUCUUGGGGCUUAACCCUGAGCGUGCUUUCGAUACGGGUUGACUUGAGGAAGGUAGGGGAGAAUGGAAUUCCUGGUGGAGCGGUGGAAUGCGCAGAUAUCAGGAGGAACACCAGUGGCGAAGGCGGUUCUCUGGGCCUUUCCUGACGCUGAGGAGCGAAAGCGUGGGGAGCGAACAGGCUUAGAUACCCUGGUAGUCCACGCUGUAAACGGUGGGUACUAGGUGUGGGGUCCAUUCCACGGGUUCCGUGCCGUAGCUAACGCUUUAAGUACCCCGCCUGGGGAGUACGGCCGCAAGGCUAAAACUCAAAGGAAUUGACGGGGCCCCGCACAAGCGGCGGAGCAUGCGGAUUAAUUCGAUGCAACGCGUAGAACCUUACCUGGGUUUGACAUGGAUCGGGAGUGCUCAGAGAUGGGUGUGCCUCUUUUGGGGUCGGUUCACAGGUGGUGCAUGCCUGUCGUCAGCUCGUGUCGUGAGAUGUUGGGUUAAGUCCCGCAACGAGCGCAACCCUUGUUCACUGUUGCCAGCACGUUAUGGUGGGGACUCAGUGGAGACCGCCGGGGUCAACUCGGAGGAAGGUGGGGAUGACGUCAAGUCCUCAUGCCCCUUAUGUCCAGGGCUUCACGCAUGCUACAAUGGCUGGUACAGAGAGUGGCGAGCCUGUGAGGGUGAGCGAAUCUCGGAAAGCCGGUCUCAGUUCGGAUUGGGGUCUGCAACUCGACCUCAUGAAGUCGGAGUCGCUAGUAAUCGCAGAUCAGCAACGCUGCGGUGAAUACGUUCCCGGG
Molecule: ribosomal RNA, 1343 nt
Filed under: uncultured bacterium
Lineage: Bacteria
Description: 16S ribosomal RNA
Rfam family: Bacterial small subunit ribosomal RNA
Source: RNAcentral